This 497-nucleotide ribosomal RNA is filed under the name uncultured bacterium. Its description in RNAcentral is "partial 16S ribosomal RNA". It matches the Rfam family "Bacterial small subunit ribosomal RNA", at positions 28 to 507 of the family's 1533-position model. The record is from RNAcentral.
GAUGAACGCUGGCGGCGUGCCUAAUACAUGCAAGUCGAGCGAACAGACGAGGAGCUUGCUCCUCUGACGUUAGCGGCGGACGGGUGAGUAACACGUGGAUAACCUACCUAUAAGACUGGGAUAACUUCGGGAAACCGUAGCUAAUACCGGAUAAUAUAUUGAACCGCAUGGUUCAAUAGUGAAAGACGGUUUUGCUGUAACUUAUAGAUGGAUCCGCGCCGCAUUAGCUAGUUGGUAAGGUAACGGCUUACCAAGGCAACAAUGCGUAGCCGACCUGAGCGGGUGAUCGGCCACACGGGAACUGAGACACGGUCCAGACUCCUACGGGAGGCAGCAGUAGGGAAUCUUCCGCAAUGGGCGAAAGCCUGACGGAGCAACGCCGCGUGAGUGAUGAAGGUCUUCGGAUCGUAAAACUCUGUUAUUAGGGAAGAACAAAUGUGUAAGUAACUAUGCACGUCUUGACGGUACCUAAGCAGAAAGCCACGGCUAACUACGUG